RNAcentral lists this ribosomal RNA (401 nucleotides) under uncultured bacterium. Its description in RNAcentral is "bacterial SSU rRNA". It matches the Rfam family "Bacterial small subunit ribosomal RNA", at positions 335 to 753 of the family's 1533-position model. The record is from RNAcentral.
AAUCCUACGGGAGGCAGCAGUGGGGAAUAUUGGACAAUGGGCGAAAGCCUGAUCCAGCCAUGCCGCGUGAGUGACGAAGGUCUUCGGAUUGUAAAGCUCUUUUGGCGGGGACGAUAAUGACGGUACCCGCAGAAUAAGCCCCGGCUAACUUCGUGCCAGCAGCCGCGGUAAUACGAAGGGGGCUAGCGUUGUUCGGAAUUACUGGGCGUAAAGCGCACGUAGGCGGAUUUGUUAGUCAGGGGUGAAAUCCCGGGGCUCAACCUCGGAACUGCCUUUGAUACUGCAAGUCUCGAGUCCGGAAGAGGUGAGUGGAAUUCCUAGUGUAGAGGUGAAAUUCGUAGAUAUUAGGAAGAACACCAGUGGCGAAGGCGGCUCACUGGUCCGGUACUGACGCUGAGUCG